Molecule: ribosomal RNA, 254 nt
Filed under: uncultured bacterium
Lineage: Bacteria
Description: partial 16S ribosomal RNA
Rfam family: Bacterial small subunit ribosomal RNA
Source: RNAcentral
UACAGAGGGUGCAAGCGUUGUUCGGAAUCAUUGGGCGUAAAGGGCGCGUAGGCGGCCGAGCGGGUCGCGGGUGAAAUCCUCCAGCUUAACUGGAGAACUGCCCUCGAUACCACUGCGGCUCGAGGAAGGAAGGGGCAAUCGGAACUGUCGGUGGAGCGGUGAAAUGCGUUGAUAUCGACAGGAACGCCGGUGGCGAAAGCGGAUUGCUGGUCCUUUUCUGACGCUGAGGCGCGAAAGCCAGGGGAGCAAACGGG